RNAcentral lists this ribosomal RNA (688 nucleotides) under Rhabdochona mexicana. RNAcentral describes it as "partial 28S ribosomal RNA". It matches the Rfam family "Eukaryotic large subunit ribosomal RNA", at positions 591 to 905 of the family's 3401-position model. Lineage: Eukaryota; Metazoa; Nematoda; Chromadorea; Rhabditida; Rhabdochonidae. The record is from RNAcentral.
AGCUCUGUGGUCUGCCACCGCGCUACCGUGCGCAACACUGCGGAGUGUGUCGGUGGUGGUCGCUGUGGAGUGGAGCUAGGCCCGUGUGAUCGGUGCAUUUGAUGGCGGUAUGCGCCGAGAGCCGCGUCACAGUGUGCGUCGAUGUCUGCCUGAUGCAGUGGACCGUUGAAGGGUCUUUGCGGACGGGCGGAAACCUGCAUUCGACCGAGGCGUAUCACUGAUGCGGUGAACAGCCGUGUACAGCAGUCCCCACCCGCGUCUUGCCAUCGUCGGACUGACCCUGUGGCGGUGCGCACUGCGUGCCUGUUCGGUGUGCAGUGCGUCCGGUUCGGGUCUGGCCACGGUGGCCGGUUUACGCGUUGGGACUGUGUCUCGGUGUGAGUGUCGAUCACCUAUUCGACCCGUCUUGAAACACGGACCAAGGAGGCUAGCAUACGCGCAAGCUAUUGGGUGGUAAACCCGUAGAGAGCGCAAUGAAAGUGAAAUCGGCCGGUUGGACGGUCGCAAACUGUGAGCCAGACGACUCCGUCGGGCGCAACAGUGCCCCGUCUCGGUUGCCGUUGGCAACGGGGCGGAGGUAGAGCGCGUAUGCUGGGACCCGAAAGAUGGUGAACUAUGCCUGAGCAGGAUGAAGCCAGAGGAAACUCUGGUGGAGGUCCGAAGCAAUUCUGACGUGCAAAUCGAUCGU